UACGUACCGUCCAAACGUUAUUCGGAAUUACUGGGCUUAAAGGGUACGUAGGCGGCGCUGUUAGUCGGGUGUGAAAUCCCAGGGCUCAACCCUGGAACUGCGCCCGAUACUGCAGUGCUUGAGGGAGACAGAGGUAAGCGGAACUGAUGGUGGAGCGGUGAAAUUCGUAGAUAUUCGGAAGAACACCAGUGGCGAAGGCGACUUACUGGACAGAGAUUGACGCUGAGGUGCGAAAGCGUGGGGAGCAAACAGG
This 253-nucleotide ribosomal RNA is filed under the name uncultured bacterium. RNAcentral describes it as "partial 16S ribosomal RNA". It matches the Rfam family "Bacterial small subunit ribosomal RNA", at positions 524 to 776 of the family's 1533-position model. The record is from RNAcentral.